Molecule: ribosomal RNA, 514 nt
Filed under: uncultured marine eukaryote
Lineage: Eukaryota
Description: SSU rRNA
Rfam family: Eukaryotic small subunit ribosomal RNA
Source: RNAcentral
UUAAAAAGCUCGUAGUUGGAUUUCGGAGUGGGCCAGUUGGUCCGCCGCAAGGUGUGUUACUGACUGGUUUGCUCUUCUUCGCAAAGACUGCGUGUGCUCUUGAGUGAGUGUGCGUAGGAUUUACGACGUUUACUUUGAAAAAAUUAGAGUGUUCAAAGCAGGCUAUUGCUUGAAUACAUGAGCAUGGAAUAAUGGAAUAGGACUUUGGUCCCAUUUUGUUGGUUUCUAGGGCCGAAGUAAUGAUUAAGAGGGACAAUUGGGGGCAUCCGUAUUUCGUUGUCAGAGGUGAAAUUCUUGGAUUUACGAAAGACGAACAACUGCGAAAGCACUUGCCAAGAGUGUUUUCAUUAAUCAAGAACGAAAGUUAGAGGAUCGAAGACGAUCAGAUACCGUCCUAGUUCUAACCAUAAACGAUGUCGACUAGGGAUCAGCGGGCGUUAUCGUACGACCCCGUUGGCACCUUACGGGAAACCAAAGUUUUUGGAUUCCGGGGGAAGUAUGGUUGCAAAGCUGA